RNAcentral lists this non-coding RNA (564 nucleotides) under Pan troglodytes (chimpanzee). The record is from RNAcentral. Lineage: Eukaryota; Metazoa; Chordata; Mammalia; Primates; Hominidae.
ACUCUCAAACUAUCAAUUUAACAAGUAAACUCACAUUUUCCUACUCUAUGCUGGUGGAUAUGAAUAAUCAGGAAGGAGACAUAGAUGCUGGACUUUUCCCCUAGAUGCUGGACUUUUCCCCUAGGAGAGAAAGAUUCAUUUAUGACCUGCUUUUUUUUUUUGGAAAAGCAGAAGAAACCCAAAUUAUAAUCCAUAAGGUAUUCACCUGAGCACAUGCUGACUUCAUGCUUUCAGGAAUGAAAUGCCUAACUCACCGGAUCGACUUGGGUCAGAGAUACUGAUAAACCUCUCAUGCCUUGAAAUUGCAGUGGAAAGCAAGUUCAGCCACUUGCCGCUUGAGAAGCCGAAUACACAAGAGAUGGAAAAAGAGGGUGCUGGCAGAAGGAUCCCUGGUUGGGCAGCGACAUGCCAGUGUGUCCAGAGGAGUUCCCUGCCUGCCAGGAAUCUCAGCAGACAUAGUGAUGUGAAGGAGCAAGACAAAAUGCCAGCAGAGACAGGGUUUCACCCUGUUAGCCAGGAUGGUCUCGAUCUCCUGACCUCAUGAUCCAUCCGCCUCGGCCCCCC